RNAcentral lists this transfer RNA (77 nucleotides) under Bacillota bacterium. RNAcentral's name for it is "tRNA-Arg". It matches the Rfam family "tRNA". From Rfam's summary of the family: Transfer RNA (tRNA) molecules are approximately 80 nucleotides in length. The record is from RNAcentral. Lineage: Bacteria; Bacillati; Bacillota.
GCGCCAUUAGCUCAAUUGGAUAGAGUCGCGCACUACGAAUGCGAAGGUUAGGGGUUCGAGUCCCUUAUGGCGCGCCA